GCCUACAACUUUCGAUUUGAGGCUUUGGAGUAGUGAAACAAGACUAUAUAUCUUAUUUAACAUUUAUUUAUAAAUUAAUGACAGUAUUGUAUAAUAGUUUCAACAAGAACAAAAAUAUAACUUAUUCAGACACAAAUAGUAAAUACUUCUGUUCUAAAGCUCUCCCGAGCAAGUUUUCAUGUUAAAGGCAAAAUGAAACACACAAUCAGACAACUUUGACCUAGAAUUGCGUUAGAACUUAUAGGACUGUUGCUUUGUUUUCAGCACGGGACACAUUCCCAUUCUCAUGUUACAAUCAAUUUGACGAAUCACGAUUCCAGCUUAAAGGGAGAUCUUUGCGAGGUGAUAUACUCGUACUCGUAGUAUGUAUAGUGCCAGGCAAAAAUAUAACCACACUUUAAUAAAUAAUUAAGUCUGUCGACAUUAUUUGUUUGGAAAGAUUAAAAGAUUGUGUUUGGGCUUUUGAACAAAAUUAAAACAAUAAACUCAAGACAUAGUGCAAUUAAUCCGGUUGUGUGUGAAUAUAAGACAUUCAGUUCAGAUUCAACUACAGCUGACCACGAUCGCUUUAUUCAAAUUGAUCUUAAUGCUUGUUCGACUUCGGCUUGAGAUAUUUCUGCCUCAAAGCAUGCGGCAAGAAGGGAGUGCGCAGUUGGGUAUCUUUGAGAUUUCCUUCAUGUUCCGGCAAAACCAGGUGUUUGGUUUUUUUAUUUUUAUUUUUAUUAUUUAUAUUGAUCCGGUAGUGUUGUGCGCUUGUAGGAAAAAGGUUUUUCUAUGUGGACUUUUGAUUUUGACUUGCAAAUAAUUUACCGACUCUACUCAUAUACCUCACCACAUACGUUCUGAGCAUAAUAUCUUGAGUAUUUCAAGGUCUCAUUCAAUCCGAUUCUGGAUGGUUAGACAAAAUCUGCAAGUCCAAUUUUUUGUCAUCCUGUUUAUGUGACUUUUCGUGCAGGUUGAAUUUAUGAAAGGUUAUACUUGCAGGCGCACCACUCAGAAGCACGAAAUUUGAAAACACGAUUUGGUUUAAAUAUUAAAAAGAAACAGCCAACUUGGGUUGGUUUGAAGAGUGGAACAUGACACGAUAUAGGCCAUGAAUGGAGAACACAAAUUCGAGCAUAGAAGUAUUUUGAUAAAACUUCUAUAAGAAUAUUAUGCUUGAGUAACUUUACUUAUCUUAUUGAAAGUGGUUAUAAUUACCUACUGCAUAAUAAUUUCAUACAAACAAAAAUCAAACAAUUCACAGGUGUUUUUCAAUAGAAAAAUUAAAAUAAACAAAAUUUUUAGAAGUAUAGGUACUUAAUUAUAAAUGAUAAGGCUGUUAAGUAAAAUUUCGUGUAUAAUAUACAUACAUUGUUUAUGCCUUUUGAAAGCUUUAAUAGAUCAUAUUAAAUAAAGUGGUUUGAAUAGUAGGCAUUAUACUUUAUCAAGGAAGUGGUAUUCAAGAAAAAAAGAUUUAUUUAGAUUUAGAACAUUGUUUGAAUGUUAAAAAUUGUAGAAUGUAAGAUACCUAGUAUUUUUCCGGUAUAAGGGUAGAAUUAGCUGUCGGCGAAAAAUCCACACAAAUAGACCAAUCAAUCAUCAAUUUUAUUGUUAUUUUUAAUUAUAUUCCCUGCUCUCUGACUUCCUUCCUCACUAUUAAAUCGCCUACCAUACCUUAUGAUAUAAACUGUCUUUGAUAAUUUGAAAUGCAUAAAUAAAAAGUGAAAGUUAUGUCAGAACACCGAAUAAGUUAAGCAAUUUUUACACGAAUAAAGAUAAUUUUUUGUUAUGCUCCUAAAAAAUAUACAAAAAUACAAAACAUAUUAUACCCACUUAAUCUUUAUUUUAAAAUUAUUCAGUUAGCAACAAUAAAAUUGGAGAGGGCAAUAAAACUGACAGAUGUAGAGUAUAGGUAAGGUAGGAACCUUACUCUGUUGCUUGGUAUUUUUUACCAAUAAGCUAAUCAAAACUGGAAAGCUACUACUGUUUCAUGGUGGCAAGUGGCAAUUGGCAGGCAGCUUUUAGUUUUUAUUGUUUGCUAUUAAAGUUACGCACGUUUGUAAUAAUGAAUCUGACAAAUGCUUUCGAUUUUUUCAUUGUUAUAUUUGGUAAGCGUUCAAUUUGCAAAACUAUUAUGUAAAACAUAAAGGAAAGUAUAUACAAAGUAAUUAUUGACAUUUCCUGGUUGAAUAAAACGUAUUUAAAUUGUAUCUAUAGACAAAACCAUGUCCUUGAUUUAUUGUUUUUAUUUUGCUAUAACAAAUUAUAUCCACUAUUAUCCCUUUUAGCUUCAAUACAGCCGGGUUGUCAAAGAAACUAUCCUAUAUGUGGUCAUGUGAAGCUGAGGUUUUUAUUGAAUAAUAAAAAGUAUACAUUACCGACUAGCAAUAUUUCAGUUAUUUCUUUUUACAAUUUCUUAGCCUGUCAACUCAACUCUGUUAAUUGACAUAUCUUUAGGUCUUGUUUUAUUUGCUGGCUUGAAUGACAUAGGCUUACAAUUGGCUCGCCAAAAAAGAAUUAAAAAGUUCGAUGUGACUUGCAACUCUCUAACUUUGCUGUCUGCCGAAUUUGAACGGCUCAUUUAAGGAAACUCUUUUAAUGACAAUGGUUGCUCUUAAGGGAUUUGCCAAUUUUUUGCGAAGUGAAACAGAAUUUUGACAUGACAAUCACACUCACUAAUCUUGAUGCCACAGUGUGUUUUUCAAAAUUCAGUAACCCGUUGUGACCGAGAUAACCCGACUUUACCCCAAUGGAUUUUUUGUAUGGGGCUACAAGAGCAACAAGCCCCAAACUCUACUGAACCUAAAAGAAAACAUUCGUCGAGAAAUCAUCGCAAUUGAAUCAAGCUUACUUUAACUUGUGGCGCGUAAAUUUGAAAAUAUAAAUCUGGCGUCAGAUGUCCUGUAAAGCUAUAUUAUAUUAAUUUAUUGUUUUAGUUUUUUUUAUACAAUUAUUUAUUUAUAUAGACCAAUAAUUUAAUAGUUUAAUACCAAAGAAUGUAUUUUGAUUUUCUCUCAGUGUAUCCUAGAUAUUAAGACCUAAGAGAACAUUUACCAUGUGUUUUUUGCUUUGUAUAUUUAGUCUUUAGCUCUUUCUGAUUGUUUUUAAUUAAAUAGUAUGAAUACAUUUACUUCAUACGGCAAACCUUAGUAACUAAACCAAAGCACCCACGAAUUCCACACUUGCAUUUUGCACAUAAAAAUACAUAUAACUAUUUAUUGUUAUGAAUAAGAUUGGUCAAUUAACUUUAUUUCCUUUACAUCAUACAUUAUAGAGCAGUUUAGUAUUCAAAUCAAUCAUCUAAACUUUAUACAAAACAAAAUGACACACUGUGAACCUAGCCCAUAUAAUACAAAAGCUUAGCUUUUACUCUUUUGUAUUGUGUAACUAAAUCCCAAGCAAUGCACUAAUGAUCUCCAAUCAAUUUUGCAAAUGGCCAUAAAGCCAUACGAUGUUUUAUUCAAUCGGAUCACGUUUGGCUCUACAUAUUAACUAUAUUCGUUUCUUCUGAAAAUAUAAAUGCUUGAGCUUGAACAAUUGAUCAUUAAAAUAUUAACUGGACCAAACACAUUUGGUGUUUUGCAGAAUUGAUUUGAGAUAUGAAUGAAUGGUAAAGCUCCAAUCUAAUGCCGCGACGGUUAAGUGAUUAAAAUUGCGUUUCGCUUUCGAUGUAUGUUUAAUUGACAAUUUCAUUGAUAUUCUGUGCCUAAUAGUGCUUUAUACACAAAUUGUUCUUUUUAUGCUUUGGAUUCUUUCACUUUUUCCAAUAAAGCCUUGAUAUCUUAUAGGCAACAUUACUUUGAAAUCGCAAAAGUGGAAUGUUUCUUUUUUGUAUUGAAUACCUUAAGCGGAAAUGCAGAAGAUUGUUAUAAAAAAGGUAAUGUUCUGACAGAAGUGAAAAAUGUAUCAGAUGCCGAUUUUUGAUGGAAAAAAUCAAAGGAUUGAAAAAUUAAUGUUAUUUACCUAAAAGGAACAAUACCACACGUAUUCUAUUCAAUUAUUUGACAGUAUUUAGGUAGGCAUCUAUUUUUGUAAUAUACUUAAAAAAAAAAGGUUCUAGACUAAAGUCGCUUACAUAUGUAGCUUAGUUUAUCUCAAUCAAAGAAACUGUACUUCCACUUCAGAAUUAAGAAAUUUAUAAAUCUAUCUUCUUAGCAACACGAUGAAAAUAGCUUUAAAGAUAAAAAUACAAUUAAAUGUUAAAUGUGGAAGUUUCAAUAAAAUUCGAAAAUGUUUUUAGCUUAUAAUCGAUAAAUCUUAUAAUAAUAACCUAUUAUCUCAAUAAAUAAAGUGCGUAUCCUUUUGUGAUUUUU
Long non-coding RNA from Eupeodes corollae, 4295 nucleotides. RefSeq lists it as uncharacterized. The record is from RefSeq and is a predicted model, not a curated record. The transcript has 4 exons. NCBI's taxonomy places the organism in Eukaryota, Metazoa, Arthropoda, Insecta, Diptera, Syrphidae.